CUAAUACAUGCAAGUCGAGCGGACAGAAGGGAGCUUGCUCCCGGAUGUUAGCGGCGGACGGGUGAGUAACACGUGGGUAACCUGCCUGUAAGACUGGGAUAACUCCGGGAAACCGGAGCUAAUACCGGAUAGUUCCUUGAACCGCAUGGUUCAAGGAUGAAAGACGGUUUCGGCUGUCACUUACAGAUGGACCCGCGGCGCAUUAGCUAGUUGGUGAGGUAACGGCUCACCAAGGCGACGAUGCGUAGCCGACCUGAGAGGGUGAUCGGCCACACUGGGACUGAGACACGGCCCAGACUCCUACGGGAGGCAGCAGUAGGGAAUCUUCCGCAAUGGACGAAAGUCUGACGGAGCAACGCCGCGUGAGUGAUGAAGGUUUUCGGAUCGUAAAGCUCUGUUGUUAGGGAAGAACAAGUGCAAGAGUAACUGCUUGCACCUUGACGGUACCUAACCAGAAAGCCACGGCUAACUACGUGCCAGCAGCCGCGGUAAUACGUAGGUGGCAAGCGUUGUCCGGAAUUAUUGGGCGUAAAGGGCUCGCAGGCGGUUUCUUAAGUCUGAUGUGAAAGCCCCCGGCUCAACCGGGGAGGGUCAUUGGAAACUGGGAAACUUGAGUGCAGAAGAGGAGAGUGGAAUUCCACGUGUAGCGGUGAAAUGCGUAGAGAUGUGGAGGAACACCAGUGGCGAAGGCGACUCUCUGGUCUGUAACUGACGCUGAGGAGCGAAAGCGUGGGGAGCGAACAGGAUUAGAUACCCUGGUAGUCCACGCCGUA
RNAcentral lists this ribosomal RNA (773 nucleotides) under Bacillus sp. b51(2010). Its description in RNAcentral is "bacterial SSU rRNA". It matches the Rfam family "Bacterial small subunit ribosomal RNA", at positions 48 to 804 of the family's 1533-position model. The record is from RNAcentral. Lineage: Bacteria; Bacillati; Bacillota; Bacilli; Caryophanales; Bacillaceae.